CGGCGCGAGAGUCGGGCGGGAGGGUGAGACCAAGUGUACAGUACUCCACGGCGUGGAGGUAGUGGUCCUGAAGGUAGUGGGGCGGGACGAGAGGAAGCGGCUAGGAGAGGGCUGCUCCGGCCUGGGCCCCGGGGAGGAAACAAUAAUUUCGGAACUCAGUCUGCGGUAGGCCUAAUCUCUAGACCUGUCCUCAAGGAGCGCACAAUCAAGUAGCAAAGAUAGACAUGUAAACAAUUUCGACACAGUGUGAUGACUGCAACAAAAAGAAGCAUUAUGAGGUUAAAUUUAAAAAGGACUUUAGAAUUUGGUGACUGAUGACAGCACCCUGAAGGGAAGACCACAAACUCCUGAUGAAGUGAUGAUUUUCCAGGCCACCUUACUUCCUUCUGCCUACCUUUGAGGUCCAGUUGUCCAGCUCUUCUUUAAAUGUCAUGAGAUAACUUUAACAGCAUGACCAAAAAAAGAAGAAAGAGGAGGAGGAGGAGGAGAGGGAGAAGAAAACACCCAAAGCAGCCAUCACUUUGUGGGCAAGUGAAGAAGAAAAAAAUUCCUUACAUGUAAAUCUUUUAAGGAAAAAUAUGUCUUUUUUAAAAAAAAAAGAUUUAUUUUAGAGAGAAAGCUCA
Molecule: long non-coding RNA, 623 nt
Organism: Zalophus californianus (California sea lion)
Lineage: Eukaryota; Metazoa; Chordata; Mammalia; Carnivora; Otariidae
Exons: 4
Source: RefSeq, a predicted model, not a curated record